Molecule: ribosomal RNA, 410 nt
Filed under: uncultured Methylomirabilota bacterium
Lineage: Bacteria; Methylomirabilota (SeqCode)
Description: bacterial SSU rRNA
Rfam family: Bacterial small subunit ribosomal RNA
Source: RNAcentral
AGCGUGGAGACAGGUGGUGCAUGGCUGUCGUCAGCUCGUGUCGUGAGAUGUUGGGUUAAGUCCCGCAACGAGCGCAACCCUCACCCCUUGUUGCUACCAGGUAAAGCUGGGCACUCUAGGGGAACUGCCCCGGUCAACGGGGAGGAAGGCGGGGAUGACGUCAAGUCAUCAUGCCCCUUACGCCCUGGGCUACACACGUGCUACAAUGGCCGGUACAAAGGGAUGCGACGCCGUGAGGCAGAGCCAAACCCAAAAAGCCGGUCUAAGUUCAGAUUGGAGUCUGCAACUCGACUCCAUGAAGGAGGAAUCGCUAGUAAUCGCGUAUCAGCACGACGCGGUGAAUACGUUCCCGGGCCUUGUACACACCGCCCGUCACACCACGAAAGCCAGCUGUACUCGAAGUCGCUGAG